UAUAUAUAUAUAUAGGGUCCGGCUACUAUACUAUUAUGAGUACGAUCGCCCUCAUACUCAUAAGUUGUUUUCGAUGAUAGAGCUUCCGAAUCGACGAUCCACACCGUUAAACGUUAUUUACAGCAUUUAAAACUUCUAGAAAUCAAAUUUUAUAAUUUUUCGACAUCAUUUACCAUACGAUCAAGAGGUCACAAAUUUGACAAUUUUUAACGGCCGGUAUGGGAUACUUGCUAGUUUAACGGUGUAAAAGAAUCGAAUUUU
Molecule: long non-coding RNA, 261 nt
Filed under: Ananas comosus (pineapple)
Lineage: Eukaryota; Viridiplantae; Streptophyta; Magnoliopsida; Poales; Bromeliaceae
Description: long non-coding RNA (ACOM_LNC018389)
Source: RNAcentral